CCUACGGGAGGCAGCAGUAGGGAAUCUUCCGCAAUGGACGAAAGUCUGACGGAGCAACGCCGCGUGAGUGAUGAAGGUCUUCGGAUCGUAAAACUCUGUUGUCAGGGAAGAACAAGUAUGAGAGUAACUGCUCGUACCUUGACGGUACCUGACCAGAAAGCCCCGGCUAACUACGUGCCAGCAGCCGCGGUAAU
RNAcentral lists this ribosomal RNA (194 nucleotides) under uncultured bacterium. RNAcentral's name for it is "partial 16S ribosomal RNA". It matches the Rfam family "Bacterial small subunit ribosomal RNA", at positions 338 to 524 of the family's 1533-position model. The record is from RNAcentral.